GCUAAUAGCGGUUCAGCACCAAAUCUUGGAUGAUUUCAUAAUAUGGAAACAAGACCAGACUGGAAAAACUACAGCAGAGAAAAGCCAUUUCACUUUGGAUCUUCUGUGACUAUUUGGUGUAGUGAUGUUUAGUAAGAUUUAAGGUACUGAAAGAUGUCCAGUGCAAUAAUUCAAGAUUUGAAUAAGCGUAUUACUAGAUUUUUGUGAAUUUACUACCUGUGGAAAGUGCUGGAUUAACAGUUCUGGUGUAUCUAUCUACUACUACUCUCAGUGCAUCCUUGGGAAAAUUAGUAAAUCUGUAUUUUGGAUAUUCCCAAGUCAUAACAACAAAGCAGAGCUCCUUGCCUGAGACCCAUGACAAAGAUACAGUGUGCAGCCUGAAGAACAGGUUGGAACUCAGACCAAGGAAUGGUUUUUAUCUCCAUGAAAAAAAAAAGGCAUGUCUUCGUGAUGGUUGGAAACAAAACCUUUUCAUAUUUGUACAGGAAGGUGCUACCCGCAGACUUCAUAAGUCAGCAGAUCGACUCUGUCUGGUCUAGAGAAUGUCUAGAACAUGGAUAUCCAUCAUCUCAUCAUUAUUAUGAAAAUGCUUUGAGUGGUAUCAGGAGUGGGGUGGAUGUGCUAUCAAGACCUGCAGUCCACAGAGCAGUGCACUGUUGUACAGUUCUAGGGCUCCAUCACCCACCCCCUCCUCCUCCUCAGCGUCGCCAGCACUACCCAACACCGUCAUUCAAAAAGUAUAGAUUUUUACACAUGACAGUGAACAUACAACUUUAA
Molecule: long non-coding RNA, 777 nt
Organism: Numida meleagris (helmeted guineafowl)
Lineage: Eukaryota; Metazoa; Chordata; Aves; Galliformes; Numididae
Source: Ensembl